GGGCUUCGGCCUGGCGGCGAGUGGCGAACGGGUGAGUAAUACAUCGGAACGUGCCCAGUAGUGGGGGAUAGCUCGGCGAAAGCCGGAUUAAUACCGCAUACGACCUGAGGGUGAAAGCGGGGGAUCUUCGGACCUCGCGCUAUUGGAGCGGCCGAUGGCAGAUUAGCUAGUUGGUGGGGUAAAGGCCUACCAAGGCGACGAUCUGUAGCUGGUCUGAGAGGACGACCAGCCACACUGGGACUGAGACACGGCCCAGACUCCUACGGGAGGCAGCAGUGGGGAAUUUUGGACAAUGGGCGAAAGCCUGAUCCAGCAAUGCCGCGUGUGUGAUGAAGGCCUUCGGGUUGUAAAGCACUUUUGGCGGGAACGAAAAGGACUGCGCCAAUACCACGGUUCGAUGACGGUACCCGCAGAAUAAGCACCGGCUAACUACGUGCCAGCAGCCGCGGUAAUACGUAGGGUGCAAGCGUUAAUCGGAAUUACUGGGCGUAAAGAGUGCGCAGGCGGUUUUGCAAGACCGAUGUGAAAUCCCCGGGCUUAACCUGGGAACUGCAUUGGUGACUGCAAGGCUAGAGUGUGUCAGAGGGAGGUGAA
Molecule: ribosomal RNA, 594 nt
Filed under: uncultured Lautropia sp.
Lineage: Bacteria; Pseudomonadati; Pseudomonadota; Betaproteobacteria; Burkholderiales; Burkholderiaceae
Description: bacterial SSU rRNA
Rfam family: Bacterial small subunit ribosomal RNA
Source: RNAcentral